UGGCCCCUUGGGUGGCCAGUGGGGGACGGGAGAACAAUACGUCCGAAUCUCCUUUUUCUUGGGGAUUACUCUAGGAAAACUUGGCCUAUUACCACAAAUCACUUUUGGUUGAAGGCAGGGGACCUUCGGGCCUUGCGCGAUUGAAUGAGCCGAUGUCGGAUUAGCUACUUGGCGGGGUAAAGGCCCACCAGGGCCACCAUCCGUACCUGGUCUGACAGGAUGAUCAGGCUGACUGGAACUGAGACACGGUCCACACUCCCACGGGACGCAGGGGUGGGGAAUAUUGGAAAAUGGGCGCAAGCCUGAACCACCCAUUGCGCGUGGGUGAAGAAAGCCUUCAGGUUUUAAAGCCCUUUUGUUGGGAAAGAAAUGCAACAGGCUAAUACCCGGUUGGGAUGACUGUACCCAAAGAACAUUCUCCGACUAACUUCGUGCCCUCCGCCCCGGUAAUACGAAUGGUGCAUACGUGACUCGGAUUUACUGGACUUAUAGCGUGCAUAGGUGGUCCUUUAAGUCCUUUGUGUCAGCCCUGAGCUCCACCGGUGAACUGCAGUGGAUACUGGGCGACUAGAGUGACUUAGAGGGUAACGGAAUUCCUGGUGUCCAGUGAAAUGCGUAAAGAUCGUAGAGGAUCAUCCGGAGGCCAAGGCGGCUACCUGGACUUUCACUUAUACUGAGGCACUAAAGCGUGAAGAGCUGACAAGAAUAACAUACACUAGAUACCCACGCCCUCCACGAUGCAAACUAUGAUGUUCGAGUGCAAUUUGGGGUCUCAGCAUCUAAGCUGAUCGCGUUAACGUCGUCGCCUGUCGACUACGGUCAGUACGACUGAAACUCAGAAGAUUGACGGAGUGCCCGCGCGACCCGCAGAGUAUGUGAUCUAAUUGGUUGCAUCGAGACAAC
RNAcentral lists this ribosomal RNA (903 nucleotides) under uncultured bacterium. RNAcentral's name for it is "bacterial SSU rRNA". It matches the Rfam family "Bacterial small subunit ribosomal RNA", at positions 69 to 970 of the family's 1533-position model. The record is from RNAcentral.